GUCUACGGCCAUGCCACCUCGAACAAGCCUGAUUCCAUCUGAUCUCAGAGGCUAAGCAGGGUUGGGGGUUGAGCCUGAUUAGUACUUGGAUGGUAGACCACCUAGAAAGACCAGGUGCUGCAGGUG
Pteropus vampyrus (large flying fox) is the source of this 126-nucleotide ribosomal RNA. The record is from Ensembl. NCBI's taxonomy places the organism in Eukaryota, Metazoa, Chordata, Mammalia, Chiroptera, Pteropodidae.